AUGCGUAUGCAGAGUUGCGGACCGGAUACAUGCGCCAUGGACGCAAGAUGGAGCUGGAACAACCGAAGAGGGCUCCACGGACAAAUCUACAAAGGAUAUCGAGGUCAAUCCCACCCGGCCAUCGGAGAUCCUAGUAGCCUCGCCACCGAAGCAGACUGCUGGAUCUCUCUGAAAGUUGUGACCAUGAUGCAGUACCUGGACUUCUCCCAGGCCAGCACCUCCAAGAAGUGGACGGCCAACAGCAGCAAGAGGCAGCCGGGCCAAGGGUUCGAUGCUCCGAGGAACAGCAUGGAGUUCGCCAUGGAGGCGCCCCACAGCUACGGCGUCUUCCAAGAGGACGUCCCGUACUCUUGCAACAGCAUGAGGCAGUACCCAAAAUCAUCCUCGGCCCCAAUCAAGAAGCUGAUCCAUGAGGACGCGUCCUUCAGGCCGAACGAAGGCCACAAGAGAGUGCCCAGCGUCAUCGCCAGGUUGAUGGGCAUGGACUCGCCGCCGAUGAACUCCGAGCUCACCACCCACCUGGAUGAUGCUAGGCAGGAGAUGGUCGUCGCGAGGCCGGUGCCGACCAAGCAUGUCUCCUUCGCGCAGCAGAAGAAUCCUGUCCGGCAUACGGCGAAACAGGAAGUUUACACCUUCGACGACGCCGGCGACGACGAGAGGGACAUUCUUGCUCAGCUGACCAAGAGGAGCAAUGGUGGUGGAGGUGGUGGUGAUGGGUGGAGCAAGCCGGUGCCGCGGGAGCACCCACAGGAGGAGGAGCUGCAGAAGUUCAAGAAGGACUUCGCGGCGUGGCAGGCCAGCAAGGUUUGGGAGCAGUCGAGGGCUCUGGAGCUGGACAGCCGGCAUAAUGUCGGCCACGACGAAGACGACAGGUGCUCGGAGAUCGUACCCUACAGGUACCACCAGAAGGAUCGCAAAGGGAGAGAUGGCAGGCACGGCAAUGACGCGCAUUCGAGAAGAAGAGGCAAGGAGGGCGGCGGCGCGUCCAUCUCCGGCAGCCGGACGUUCUCUCUGACGAGCGCGGACGACGGUUCUUCCGCGAGGCUGCCGCUCUCGAGAUUCUAUUACGAGGAGGAGGAGAAGCCGCUGUCGCCGACGAGGAUCGUGAUCCUGAAGCCCUGCCCGGAGCUGAGCGCCGACGACGUCGACGAGUCGUCGCUGGGCUCGCCGGAGCUGAUGAAGAACGAGAACAACAUGGAGGCGUUCCUGGAGGAGGUGAAGAUGCGGCUCAAGAUCGAGCUCGAAGGGCACUUGGCCCCCGACGACAGGGCGGCCGAACGGUGGCCCGACGUCCCCGCCGACCCGAAGCAGAUCGCGCGGAACAUCGCCGACCAGAUCAGGGAGAGCGUCACCAAGGAAAUGCACCACCCGGCGCUGCUACGCUCGGAGUCGACGCGGUCGUACCGCAGCAGCGACGUGCAGAGCCAGAUGGACUACAUAUGCAGAGACGCAAGGAAGCAGCUCUCCGACCGGCUGAGGAACGUGCUCAGGAGGGAGCCGGAGGCAGACCAGCCGCCGCCGUUCGGCUCUCAGCGGAGACGGCCGGCCGCCUCGACGCCGUCGUCUUCGCCGUGGGACGAAGAGCCGCGGCCGAAGCCGACGAGUCCGCGGCGCGACGUGGCGAGGAAGGGCGACAAGAAAAUCAGGAGCAAGGAGGAGAAGAAGCGCGCGAUCGAGUCAUCCGAAGUCCGGUCCUUCAGACAUGGGUGGUACAAGAACUCCGCUACGGCGGCGGUCGUCGACUCCUCCGACGACGCGGCCUCGCCGAGGAACCUGAUGAGGUCGUUCUCGGCGCCGGUGUCCGGGAACUUCGCGAAGUUCCUUUCGGAGGGGGAGCCAAAGGUGCUCGCCGGAGCGCGGGUGCAGCUGAAGCACGAGGGACAUGGGGACUACUACGGCGGGCGGCCGUCGCCGGAGGAGGAAAGGCAGCCGAAAGGGAGGAAGGAUGCGUUCGGCAUCAAGGGGAAGGUGUCCAACCUGCGGCAGAACCUCGGGCUUAGAGCGAAGCUGUUCGGCAAGAAGCUCCACUCCGCCGCCGCCGACGAGUCGUCGUCAUCGUUCUUCCUCGACGACUUCCCGCCGAUGGGCACGCUGGUCACCGCCCCCUCCGUCCUCAUCCACCCCGGCGUCCUGCAGGAGAACUCCACCGAGGUGCCGCCGAGCCCGGCGUCGUGGUGCAGCAGCCCGCCAGAUGAAUUGAUGAUCCGGGGAGGUUACCCGAGCCCCGUCUCGCCGUUGGAGGCUUCCUUCGGUGAGCACCGGUCCCCGUUGAAGCCGGCGGCGAGCUCAAGUGCUUCUGAACCAGGCAAUUCAUGCCUGGAGCAAGAUCAAGCUGAAGAAAUCCCACAAGCAAGUUCAGCAGUCCAGGACGAUGACGACGACGACACGGCCGAGAUGGAUCACCCGACAAAAGCUUUCAUCAGAGCCGUCCUCGUCGUGGCCGGCAUGUACGGCCAGAACUCCGGCGAUCACCUCUCAUUAACCUGCCAACCGAUCAAGCCGAUCCCCAAGUGGGCGUUCGAGCAAGUCAUCUGCUCGACACCACCUCCGGAAGCCGCUUCCGUCCAUGACGUCGACCACCGCCUCCUCUUCGACCUGAUAAACGAGGCGCUGCCCGGAGCCGCCCGCGGCUCGACGACACUGUGCGUGUUCAGCAAGUGGUACGCGGCGCCACCGAGAAGAGCGUCGGCGGACAAGAGGCUGCUCGACGGGCUGUGGAGAUCCGUGCAGACGUGGCUGGAGCCGCCGAGCGUCGACGACGACGCCUACUCGGUGGACGGGCUCAUCGGCCGCGACAUGGGCGUGUCCCCCUGGAGCGGCGUGUUCCGCGACGACGUCGACGGGAUAGCCGAGGAGAUGGAGGCGGAGAUCCUGUCGGAGCUGGUCGACGAGACGCUGUGGGACGUGCUGCUCAACGUAGGGGACUGA
This 2928-nucleotide ribosomal RNA is filed under the name Triticum aestivum (bread wheat). RNAcentral's name for it is "partial small subunit ribosomal RNA". Lineage: Eukaryota; Viridiplantae; Streptophyta; Magnoliopsida; Poales; Poaceae. The record is from RNAcentral.